GAUGAAGAACGCAGCAAAAUGCGAUAAGUAGUGUGAAUUGCAGAAUUCAGUGAAUCAUCGAAUCUUUGAACGCACAUUGCACCUCUCGGUAUUCCGGGAGGUAUGCCUGUUCGAGCGUCAUUUGUACCCUCAAGCUCUGCUUGGUGUUGGGUGUUUGUUCCGCCUCUGUGUGUGAACUCGCCUCAAAACAAUUGGCAGCCGGCGUACUUGUUUCGGAGCGCAGCACAUUUUGCGAUCCAGAUCAACGUACAGCGGCAUCCAAGAAGCCUUAUUUAACGCUCUUGACCUCGGAUCAGGUAGGGAUACCCGCUGAACUUAAGCAUAUCAAUAAGCGGAGGA
RNAcentral lists this unclassified non-coding RNA (339 nucleotides) under soil metagenome. RNAcentral describes it as "partial contains 5.8S ribosomal RNA, internal transcribed spacer 2, and large subunit ribosomal RNA". The stretch from base 1 to 120 matches the Rfam family "5.8S ribosomal RNA", at positions 35 to 154 of the family's 154-position model. The record is from RNAcentral.